GGAAACCAGGAAGAGAAAGAGAAUUACCACAGUAAGAACUGCCAUACCUACUUGAAGGAGAGUUUUCUCCCAUCCACUCAUCCAUCCAAACCAUCUGUCCCAUAAAUUGGGGACUCCAGAAUUCCUCUUUAAUUCAUGAGAAAGACUUUCCAAUUUCUCUAUAGCCAUGGUUACCUUACCGUUAGGGCCUGUAUUGUCUGGGAUGAAAGUACAGCAUGUCAUAGUAUCAGGGAG
This is a non-coding RNA of Pelobates cultripes (western spadefoot toad), 234 nucleotides long. NCBI's taxonomy places the organism in Eukaryota, Metazoa, Chordata, Amphibia, Anura, Pelobatidae. The record is from the annotation of a GenBank genome assembly.